RNAcentral lists this ribosomal RNA (412 nucleotides) under uncultured bacterium. RNAcentral describes it as "bacterial SSU rRNA". It matches the Rfam family "Bacterial small subunit ribosomal RNA", at positions 29 to 405 of the family's 1533-position model. The record is from RNAcentral.
AACGAACGCUGGCGGCGUGGCUAAGACAUGCAAGUCGUACGAUAUGUUGUAGCAAUAUGGCAUAUAGUGGCGGACGGGUGAGUAAUGCAUGGGUAAUGUACCUUGGACACAGGAAUAGCGUCGAGCCCCGCAAGGGGUUCUUUGCGAAAGUGACGGUAAUACCUGAUGAAGAAUUUGGAAGGCAUCUUUUGAUUUCCAAAGGGUGGGGACCGCAAGGCCUACCGGUCUGAGAUCAGCCCAUGUCCUAUCAGCUAGUUGGUAAGGUAAUGGCUUACCAAGGCAUCGACGGGUAGCCGGUCUGAGAGGAUGGUCGGCCACAUCGGAACUGAGACACUGUCCGGACACCUACGGGUGGCUGCAGUAACGAAUAAUCCGCAAUGGGCGCAAGCCUGACGGUGCGACGCCGCGUGCA